GACCGUUCAGCUCGCCUGUGGAGUAUUGAGACAGGAACGUGUGUGUUGCAAUAUGUAGGUCAUAGUGGAUCUGUCAAUUCUGUGCGAUUCCAUGCGAAAGAACCACUGGUCUUAACAGCCUCUGGUGAUAACACAGCUCAUGUAUGGAAGUCCACAGUCAGUCUGCCUGUUGCGUCGCAGAUAUCAGAGGGUAAUAGGUCAAAUCCAUCAAGUGGAGAUGACCUGGAUGGGUCAGAUAAAGAAGAUCAAGAUGGUAAG
This is a long non-coding RNA of Anneissia japonica, 258 nucleotides long. RefSeq lists it as uncharacterized. The record is from RefSeq and is a predicted model, not a curated record. The transcript has 3 exons. Lineage: Eukaryota; Metazoa; Echinodermata; Crinoidea; Comatulida; Comatulidae.